This 1646-nucleotide long non-coding RNA is filed under the name Heterocephalus glaber (naked mole-rat). Its description in RNAcentral is "lncRNA (ENSHGLG00000033570.1)". Lineage: Eukaryota; Metazoa; Chordata; Mammalia; Rodentia; Bathyergidae. The record is from RNAcentral.
GGGGGAGUGACUCUCUCCCCUUCACCCGGAAUUUGCCAUAACCGGAUUGGCUUCCGGGCGCCUCUGCCUAUCGUCCUCUCUUCCGGUGGAUUGUGUGCACCUUCUUUCUACUUGUCAUUGACGUAGCUUUUAAGGCCUUAUCUUUGGAGUGGGUGGCUGGUUGGCAAGGGGGUUGCCUUAUUUAGGGUUAGCUAAGACUUAGUACGGGGGCGAGUAGAUUAUCUAUUGAACUCUGUAAUGACUCUCGAGAGAAUACACAUGUAUGUAAGUGUAUAUGUUAGUGCUUAGGUAGGAGUACGCAGCGCCUUAGUUGGCACCCCACCCCCCCGCGCUUCCCUAUAUUUUAUUGGAGGCGGGGGGCGGCUUAUUGUUUGUGCACCUGGCUUUCUCUCUGUCCUGCCUGUCAGCUUAUUUUAGUCUCUUGGUGCAAGUCCCAAAGCCAUUUGGUGCCUUUCGAUCAGUUUGUCUUUCUUUCUCUUUCUUUUUCUUCCUUCCUUCCUCCUACCCAUCUUUGACUUGCUUCCCAGGGGAAAUCUCUCUAGCAAAGGUUUUUUUUUUUUUUUUUUUACACUCCUUCUAGUCAGGAUUAGUUUCUGGAGCCCUGUGCCCACACAAGCAUUGGGAAGAGGACGUUUCUGUUUGUCCUCGUUUUGUCACCGGGUAGUACUGUCGGGUUUUCAGUCAUGCAGGGGGAAUACGGCUACGUGAGUUUCAGAAUUACUGAUUUAGUCAUUUAUUCUGCAGUACUAGGGAUUGAACCCAGGGGCUUCAAACAGAGCGACAUUCCCAGCUUUUAAAACCUAAUCUUAUUUUGCUUUUUGAGAUUGGGUCUCCCUAAAUCGGUAAGUUGCCUAGGCUGGGCUCUAACUUGCCAUCCUCCCGCCUCAGCCUUCCAUAGUGCUGGGAUUACAAACGUGUGCCACCAGGCCUGCCCUUGAGUUUCAGUCUCACAUCCAUGAUAGCGUCUUGCCUUUCUAACGUCAGAUGAAAGUGUUGCACCCAGUGAGAAAGAACCAACCAGAGACCGAUAUUGAAUCCACACAGGAGUUUAUUACCGGCCGGGACGCGAGCCGAGCAACGGACUCGAACGAGCCUCGACUGGGGGGAGACAAACAUGUUUUAUACACCUUUGAGGCCAACAGUUUCUAGGCCCCCUGUAGGGAACAGGGAAAGGGGACGUUACUAGAACCUCUGCAGUGAGUCCUCGUCUCCUGCGAGCCACGGCAGCACAAGGCGAAUUACAGGAAAGGUAGAAAAAUGAGACCUUGAAAAGAAGCUGAGCUUUGGGUCUGAUCAGUGCUGCUCUGGGCGGCAAAGACGAAAGCCCCCAGCUUACCGCACCUUUUAUUCAGUACAUCGGGAGAAACAAAGUGUAACAAAUGACUUGCCGAGAGUUCAGUACAUCCUGCGUAAAUAAGAUGUAACGAUCCAAGAACAAGGAGGAACUGAGUAGACGUUUGUUCCUCCCAGGAUGUUUUCAGCUCCCAGGAUGUUUCCUGUCCUGGAGAAUCACAGACAGCAUCACCGGAUCAUUGAGGUCUCAGUUGUGACCGGAGGCCAAAAUGCAAUUAUGUCUCGGAAUUCCAUAGCUGGGUUGUAGGCAGGAGAACUAGGCUAACCAACCCACCAGCCCCCCCCCCCCCCCC